This 339-nucleotide long non-coding RNA is filed under the name Solanum tuberosum (potato). Its description in RNAcentral is "long non-coding RNA (STUB_LNC001001)". Lineage: Eukaryota; Viridiplantae; Streptophyta; Magnoliopsida; Solanales; Solanaceae. The record is from RNAcentral.
CAAAAUCGACGGAGAGAUUUUUUCAUUGGCCAUUAAAUUAAAUGCUCAAAUAAACAUAAUAACAUAAAUAAGAUGGCAAAUAAAAAUAAAAUAUCAAAGCAAUAUAACAUGAACAUAAAACUAGCUAAUCAAAAUAGGAAGAAACAAUUGAUAAAGUAGUAAACAUAAAGUCAACAAUUACAACUGAAAAAUAAAACAACAAUAAUAAAGUGAAGUGGUGAACAUACCGUAGCCAUACCUAUACCAAUCUAAAUAAGAAAUAAUAUCAAUGACACAAGCAACCAAAACAAAAGAAAUCAUGGCAUUUAGCUAAAAGGUGUGUCCCACAUUAAAAAANNN